ACGAAUCGUCAUGACAUACUCAAGUCGAAACUGAAAUGAAAAUCAUGGAUCAACGUACAGUAAAAGCAAUCAGUGCCCAGUCUAGAAAAAGCAGAAAAGAAGAGAAACUGGCAAAAGAAAAAGACUGUCCCACUGUACUUUGCUCACAUCUCGCUGGUUAUGCAGGAUACGCUCUCCUUCGGGCCCAAUCUGCCCAGAGCUCGAUGGGAUACAGAUGGAAACUUUGAGAGCAAAGCGGCCAGCAUCAGGAAGAACACGGCCAAGGACAUUUGCAAAGACUUUGACACUAAGUAUGUAUUUCAAGACUUCCCUUUUGUCUUUGUACUGACUUCACAAGAGAAGCUUUUAAAAUUUAAGGCAACCUUUAACUAAGUUGAGUAUUUCCCCUGAGAUGACUCACACACAU
Molecule: long non-coding RNA, 406 nt
Organism: Hippocampus zosterae (dwarf seahorse)
Lineage: Eukaryota; Metazoa; Chordata; Actinopteri; Syngnathiformes; Syngnathidae
Exons: 3
Source: RefSeq, a predicted model, not a curated record